AGUGAACGCUGGCGGUAGGCCUAACACAUGCAAGUCGAACGGCAGCACAGUAAGAGCUUGCUCUUACGGGUGGCGAGUGGCGGACGGGUGAGGAAUACAUCGGAAUCUACUUUUUCGUGGGGGAUAACGUAGGGAAACUUACGCUAAUACCGCAUACGACCUACGGGUGAAAGCAGGGGAUCUUCGGACCUUGCGCGAUUGAAUGAGCCGAUGUCGGAUUAGCUAGUUGGCGGGGUAAAGGCCCACCAAGGCGACGAUCCGUAGCUGGUCUGAGAGGAUGAUCAGCAACACUGGAACUGAGACACGGUCCAGAAUCCUACGGGAGGCAGCAGUGGGGAAUAUUGGACAAUGGGCGCAAGCCUGAUCCAGCCAUACCGCGUGGGUGAAGAAGGCCUUCGGGUUGUAAAGCCCUUUUGUUGGGAAAGAAAAGCAGCAGGUUAAUACCCCGCUGUUCUGACGGUACCCAAAGAAUAAGCACCGGCUAACUUCGUG
Molecule: ribosomal RNA, 492 nt
Filed under: uncultured bacterium
Lineage: Bacteria
Description: partial 16S ribosomal RNA
Rfam family: Bacterial small subunit ribosomal RNA
Source: RNAcentral